This 673-nucleotide ribosomal RNA is filed under the name uncultured fungus. RNAcentral's name for it is "eukaryotic LSU rRNA". The stretch from base 236 to 390 matches the Rfam family "5.8S ribosomal RNA". Lineage: Eukaryota; Fungi. The record is from RNAcentral.
UCCGUAGGUGAACCUGCGGAAGGAUCAUUACUGAGUUGUUGACACGAGCUGUUGCUGGUCCUCAAAACGAGGGGGCAUGUGCACGCUCUGUUCACACAUCCACUCACACCUGUGCACCCACCGUAGUUCUACGGUCUGGAGGACUCGCCGUCCUCUUCCCGUGGUUCUACGUCUUUACACAUACACCGUAGUGAAGUCUUAUGGAAUGCACGCCGCGUUUAACGCAAUACAAUACAACUUUCAGCAACGGAUCUCUUGGCUCUCGCAUCGAUGAAGAACGCAGCGAAAUGCGAUAAGUAAUGUGAAUUGCAGAAUUCAGUGAAUCAUCGAAUCUUUGAACGCACCUUGCGCCUCUUGGCUAUUCCGAGGGGCAUGCCUGUUUGAGUAUCAUGAACACCUCAACUCUCACGGUUUGCCCGUGAUGAGCUUGGACUUCUGGAGGUUUUGCUGGCCUGCGGUCGGCUCCUCUCAAAUCGAUCAGCUUACCAGUGUUUGGUGGCGUCAUGGGUGUGAUAACUAUCUACGCUUGUGGCCGUCCGCCAGGUAACCUUCAGCGAUGGAGGUUCGCUGGCGCUUACAAACGUCUCUCCCGAGCGAAGACGACUUUUUGAGCGUUCGAUCUCAAAUCAGGUAGGACUACCCGCUGAACUUAAGCAUAUCAAUAAGCGGAGGA